UAUCUCUCUGUACAGGGAAGGAUGAGAAUCUUCGAUUAAGGUUCGACUCGAGCGGAAGCGAGAGAACGUUGCCAACGGCAACGGCCCGAAGGG
RNAcentral lists this small RNA (93 nucleotides) under Salmonella enterica subsp. houtenae. RNAcentral describes it as "partial RtT sRNA". It matches the Rfam family "RtT RNA", at positions 1 to 91 of the family's 130-position model. Rfam says of the family: This family represents a bacterial cis-regulatory element known as RtT RNA. The exact function of RtT is unknown although it is thought that it may be involved in changing the cellular response in relation to amino acid starvation. The record is from RNAcentral. Lineage: Bacteria; Pseudomonadati; Pseudomonadota; Gammaproteobacteria; Enterobacterales; Enterobacteriaceae.